UACGGAGGGUGCAAGCGUUAUCCGGAUUCACUGGGUUUAAAGGGUGCGUAGGUGGGCAAGUAAGUCAGUGGUGAAAUCUCCGGGCUUAACCCGGAAACUGCCAUUGAUACUAUUUGUCUUGAAUACUGUGGAGGUCAGCGGAAUAUGUCAUGUAGCGGUGAAAUGCUUAGAUAUGACAUAGAGCACCAAUUGCGAAGGCAGCUGGCUACACAAAUAUUGACACUGAGGCACGAAAGCGUGGGGAUCAAACAGG
RNAcentral lists this ribosomal RNA (253 nucleotides) under uncultured bacterium. Its description in RNAcentral is "partial 16S ribosomal RNA". It matches the Rfam family "Bacterial small subunit ribosomal RNA", at positions 524 to 776 of the family's 1533-position model. The record is from RNAcentral.